RNAcentral lists this unclassified non-coding RNA (264 nucleotides) under Hevea brasiliensis (rubber tree). Lineage: Eukaryota; Viridiplantae; Streptophyta; Magnoliopsida; Malpighiales; Euphorbiaceae. The record is from RNAcentral.
AAAAAUGCUUCAGAUGAUGAUAGUCAUGAAGAAAAGCGAAGAGGAAAGCAGAAAAAAUCAAGGGAAAGGAAGAGGAGGAAGAAAAAAUACGACACGUCCGAUUCAGAUAGUUCUUCUGAUUCAGACUUAGACUCUGACUCUGAGAGUGUUUCUGACACAGAUUUGUCGUCGUCAUCAUCUUCUUCUGAAAGUUCUUCCAGUGAUGACAGGUCUAGAAAGAGAAAGAGGACUUCUAAGAGAGGCAGAUAUAGGCGUGGGAGAAAA